GAUGAACGCUGGCGGCGUGCCUAAUACAUGCAAGUCGAGCGAACGGACGAGAAGCUUGCUUCUCUGAUGUUAGCGGCGGACGGGUGAGUAACACGUGGAUAACCUACCUAUAAGACUGGGAUAACUUCGGGAAACCGGAGCUAAUACCGGAUAAUAUUUUGAACCGCAUGGUUCAAAAGUGAAAGACGGUCUUGCUGUCACUUAUAGAUGGAUCCGCGCUGCAUUAGCUAGUUGGUAAGGUAACGGCUUACCAAGGCAACGAUGCGUAGCCGACCUGAGAGGGUGAUCGGACACACUGGAACUGAGACACGGUCCAGACUCCUACGGGAGGCAGCAGUAGGGAAUCUUCCGCAAUGGGCGAAAGCCUGACGGAGCAACGCCGCGUGAGUGAUGAAGGUCUUCGGAUCGUAAAACUCUGUUAUUAGGGAAGAACAUAUGUGUAAGUAACUGUGCACAUCUUGACGGUACCUAAUCAGAAAGCCACGGCUAACUACGUG
Molecule: ribosomal RNA, 497 nt
Filed under: uncultured bacterium
Lineage: Bacteria
Description: partial 16S ribosomal RNA
Rfam family: Bacterial small subunit ribosomal RNA
Source: RNAcentral